AGAACAGAUAACGAGAUAAAGAAUUUCUGGAAUUCAAAUUUGAAGAGGAAGCUAAUAAAGCAAGGCAUAGAUCCAAAUACCCACAAGCCACUAAGUGAAAAUCAUCAAGUAAGAAAUGAGCCGAAUUGUACAGAUAAGACCUCAAGUUUGCUGAUGCCCAAGCUCCCAAAUAUGUCAGAUUCAGCUGAAAUACAGCAACCAUUUCAUUUUUUCAAUAGUAAAAGAAAUUUCAACAGCCAAGCAGUUACUAG
This 251-nucleotide unclassified non-coding RNA is filed under the name Hevea brasiliensis (rubber tree). Lineage: Eukaryota; Viridiplantae; Streptophyta; Magnoliopsida; Malpighiales; Euphorbiaceae. The record is from RNAcentral.